This 514-nucleotide ribosomal RNA is filed under the name uncultured bacterium. Its description in RNAcentral is "bacterial SSU rRNA". It matches the Rfam family "Bacterial small subunit ribosomal RNA", at positions 26 to 518 of the family's 1533-position model. The record is from RNAcentral.
AGGACGAACGCUGGCGGCGUGCCUAACACAUGCAAGUCGAACGGGGAUUUGUUUCGGCAGAAUCCUAGUGGCGAACGGGUGAGUAACGCGUAGGCAACCUGCCCUCCGGCCGGGGACAACACUCCGAAAGGGGUGCUAAUACCGGAUACGAAGUCUGUGCCGCAUGGUACGGAUUUGAAAGAUGGCCUCUGUUUACAAGCUAUCGCCGGGGGAUGGGCCUGCGUCCGAUUAGCUGGUUGGUGGGGUAACGGCCUACCAAGGCGACGAUCGGUAGCCGGUCUGAGAGGAUGAACGGCCACAUUGGGACUGAGACACGGCCCAGACUCCUACGGGAGGCAGCAGUGGGGAAUCUUCCGCAAUGGGCGCAAGCCUGACGGAGCAACGCCGCGUGAGUGAGGAAGUUCUUCGGAACGUAAAGCUCUGUUGUUCCUGACGAACCUCCCCUUUAUCAACAACGGAGGGGACUGACGGUAGGGAACGAGGAAGCCACGGCUAACUACGUGCCAGCCGCCGC